RNAcentral lists this ribosomal RNA (406 nucleotides) under uncultured bacterium. Its description in RNAcentral is "bacterial SSU rRNA". It matches the Rfam family "Bacterial small subunit ribosomal RNA", at positions 355 to 776 of the family's 1533-position model. The record is from RNAcentral.
UGGGGAAUAUUGCGCAAUGGGGGAAACCCUGACGCAGCAACGCCGCGUGAAGGAUGAAGGUCUUCGGAUUGUAAACUUCUUUAGUCGGGGACGAAGAAAUGACGGUACCCGAAGAAUAAGCCACGGCUAACUACGUGCCAGCAGCCGCGGUAAUACGUAGGUGGCGAGCGUUGUCCGGAAUUACUGGGUGUAAAGGGCGUGUAGGCGGGAUUGUAAGUCAGAUGUGAAAUUCUGAGGCUUAACCUCAGCGCUGCAUCUGAAACUACAAUUCUUGAGUGCUGGAGAGGAAAGCGGAAUUCCUAGUGUAGCGGUGAAAUGCGUAGAUAUUAGGAGGAACACCAGUGGCGAAGGCGGCUUUCUGGACAGUAACUGACGCUGAGGCGCGAAAGCGUGGGGAGCAAACAGG